GAGCAAAGUUGUUGAAUUCAGUGCAAACACUUGUCAAAGGAGCAGUCCCGAUCUGGUUCCAUCUUCUUUUCGUUGUCUGUUCGACCUUGGCUU
This 93-nucleotide microRNA precursor is filed under the name Camelina sativa (false flax). RNAcentral's name for it is "miR858 stem-loop (cas-MIR858)". Its record names the gene cas-MIR858. Lineage: Eukaryota; Viridiplantae; Streptophyta; Magnoliopsida; Brassicales; Brassicaceae. The record is from miRBase by way of RNAcentral.